This is an RNA transcript of Callithrix jacchus (white-tufted-ear marmoset), 2691 nucleotides long. RefSeq lists it as uncharacterized. The record is from RefSeq and is a predicted model, not a curated record. Lineage: Eukaryota; Metazoa; Chordata; Mammalia; Primates; Cebidae.
CCGUCCCUGGGGAGCCAGUGGCAGGUUCCGAGGCGUCCGCCCCCCCCCACCCCCCGGAUUCCCGCGGUCGCGGUGGGAGCGUGUGCUAGACACGGCUUUGCUCGGGUCCGGGUACUGAACACACGGCGGCCUGAUCGGUCGAUGAUUUACGUUUUGGCUGCGGAAUGAUCUCCCCUGCUCGGACCACCCUCCCCAGAGAAGGUCCCCGCCCUCCCCGCGCGUUCGCGCUCAGCGCGGGGGUCUCUGUAAGGAGCGCCGUGGGAGUCUUCCGCCCUCCGCUCCAGCAGCAGCUGCCUCCGGACCCCGAAGCGUACGAAUUACCCGCCUCGCUCUCUUUUUCAGAAAUAGGAGGGAAAGGGAGAGUGCAAAUUGAUUUCUCGCAGAGACUGAGGCGCUGAAUGAUAUAGGGAAUAAACAUUUGCCCUGGAUAAAAAUGUCCCUGGCUGUUGUCCAGCUCUAAUGAUGUCCUAGAGCCGAAGUGUUUCUUCUGUUGUCUCAUUUUACCAAGAGGAUGAUUUCUGUGUAUGUCUCUCUGUUUUAGAGAGGCUGACAAAUGCUGCUAGGAGGAUCUGAGGUUCCCAUAAAGAGGAUGAAAAUUCUGAAUUACAUUCAUUACAAAUAACCCUUAACAAUUGUGAGAGGUAGAGAGCACUCUUUUCACAUAAGACUUUGAUAUGCUGCCUAAAGCUACUUUCAUAAUUUCCUAUUCAAAGAAAUGUACUUGUUCACUGAGGACCCACCCUGACUUAAAUUAGAAAAAUGUAACAUUCAGAUUUAUAUUUUAUAUGUGAAAUAAAUGUGUGAUUGCUGUUCUUAAACAUUUGACAAAAAGACAGGAUAACAAAAAUAUUAAUUUUGUGGCCCAUAGUUUAUGAACUUUAAAAGUGUUUACAGCAUGUAAAGUUUAUUUAACAAUUUAAGUGUUUGAGCUCUAUACUAAUUCAUAUGGUUACACUGGAUCAACUCCUUAAUGAAGCCAUAGGCUUUACAUCCCCUAGCUGCCUUUUACUUUGAGAACAAAUCUGGUUUAUACUUUGACUGCUCCAAAAGUUAUCCAUUUUAAUUUUACGUCGAGAAUGUCUUCCUUGGAUAAUCACAAUGCGUAUUUGCAGCUAGCACUUCAGUACGUUUUACAUUAUUGGUGACACUGUUCUUAGCUAUCGUGGUGCCACCUUCUUAGAAGUACUGUGUAUGAGUACCAACUAAUGUAUUUCUUGCCUAUUAACCCACUAAAAUUUCUAAUCUCAAAGCAAUAUUCAAGAUACACUUUAUUAUAGAAAUUGGAAAGCGAUUUGCCUGGGAAGCAAAAUGUUGACAUGAUUCAGGUGAUUUUAACAUUACAUCUAACGUGUAACAAAAAUGGGUUAAAGAUAAAUAAAUUGGGACUAUUACUUGCAUAGCAAAGACAGUCACACAUGACACACACAUUUGUGCAUAUAUAAUUACCUUCAAUGAUAUAUUGAAAUGUAUUCAUUUUCACAUCAGGUGUGUUUAUUUUGUUUUUAGAGUUUUCUCUUUGAGUCUAAAGUUUUUUAAAUACCUAUGUGUGCAAAAAUCUUCACAUUUUAUUUUAUAAGAUCAAUAUACGCUAAAUAAACCAGGGCUAAUGUAUUCAAGUCCAAAAAGUAUGUUGGAACUUGAACGGACAUUAAGGAUCAUUUAAUCUUAUCACUCAUGAUGACAAAGAAGUGGAGACCCAGAGAGGUUAAUUGAUUAGUGUAAUCAUACACUAGCCAGUAACCUAAGGAACUUUAAAUGUAGGUUUCUUAACUUCUUAGCUAGUGGUCAUUCUAUAAAUUUUAUUACUAAGACAGGCAUUCUUUGAGAAUGGGCCUAGAAAAUAAGUGAAAGGAAGGGAAAGUAGCGCAAAGAUAUAUAAAUCACACCGAGUCUUCUUAGCUACUUUUCUGAUAAUACUUUUCAUUGUAGAAAACUUUAAUUCUCCUGCUUUAUUUUGUCCUGCACUCCCCCACCUUCACAUGAUUGGAACCGAUUUCAUGAUAAAAUUUACCUUUGCAGAAAAUAUCCUCAGUAUUCUUUUUGUACACACAUUGGGUUGCUGUUCCCUAGACUACUUUCCCUCAUGGAAUAUAAACUGUCCAUAAUUCCAAUCACUUGCAAUGUCAUACUCCAUUAUAUCACCUAUAUGUUCUACUUUUUACAUUCCCUAAAAAUAUAGAAAGUGGAUUGUUCCAAGAGGAAAGCUGUCAUGUCAAAAUAAGAAGUUUAAUUACAAUCUAACACAUAUCUGAAAUUGUACACACACACACACAAUAUGAAAGAAAUGCAGAGAUUAAGAGAGUGUCUUUUAAUGGAAACAUUAAAUAAAACAUACAAACAAAAAUAUCUCACCACACAUGUUCCAUCAGUAUAUAAAAAAGUUCCAAUUUGAAUAAAAGCUGCAAGACAUCAACCAUUUAGAAGUGUUCAGUGUUCUGAAGUGGUUAGAGAAAACGUACCAGUGUUACUUUAUAUACAUCAAUAUCUGUGUGUUACAUGCAAGCCAUUUUGUUUUGAAAAUGGCAAUUCUGAAGUAGAAUAUCAGCACUAAAAUCCAUUUUGCAGUUAUCAUUACUUCAAAAGAGUUAUCAUUCUUGGAUUCAACAAGAUGAACAUAGAAUCAAAUGAAACAUUUAAAAAUGUCUAUAGUGUAUGCUUAUAAAAUAAAAAUUUUUGCACUAAUCUGAAAAA